CUCAGGCGUAUGCAUGGGUGUCUCUGUGGGUCCUGGAGCAGCCGCAGUCGCUGUUUAUUCUGCAUGUGAUAUUGUUGAUGUGAAUGGACGUUGCUAGAUUGAGUUAUGUUUAUAUAAAGACUAUAUUAUUGCUUUUAUUAAACAUUUGGCAGUGCGCUAAUGGAGUGUUUUUGUUUUGAACUUUGCAGCUAAUAUGUAUUUUAACUACUCGCAACCGCAAAUUUAAGCAGCGACAAAACUGAAAUGUAAAAUAUCAUUUAUCAGGAUGUCCUCGAGUGAAGAUGCUGUGAUCUCUGCACGCAGCUCAUGGCUGUGCUCAUCACAGAAACAGCUGUCUGAUGUUCUCACCACAACACAAUACAACAGUCCAAGCGAUGACUGCAGGUUUGAACAUGACACGUGUGACCCUGUCUGUCUGCAGAGAGCUGAGGAGGGCUUGCCAUGUGUUGUCACACUUCUGUGCACACCUAACUCUGCUUCUGUGAUCAGCAGUCUUCAGGUCGUCAGUGAAGCCCGCACUAUUGAAGUGUACUCACUGUCUGGAGAAUACUGUGGCACCUGCCGUGGAGAGCAUGUUCAAAAAUCACACAC
Sinocyclocheilus anshuiensis is the source of this 591-nucleotide long non-coding RNA. RefSeq lists it as uncharacterized. Lineage: Eukaryota; Metazoa; Chordata; Actinopteri; Cypriniformes; Cyprinidae. The record is from RefSeq and is a predicted model, not a curated record. The transcript has 3 exons.